RNAcentral lists this ribosomal RNA (559 nucleotides) under Pichia ethanolica. RNAcentral's name for it is "eukaryotic LSU rRNA". It matches the Rfam family "Eukaryotic large subunit ribosomal RNA", at positions 62 to 648 of the family's 3401-position model. Lineage: Eukaryota; Fungi; Ascomycota; Pichiomycetes; Pichiales; Pichiaceae. The record is from RNAcentral.
AAACCAACAGGGAUUGCCUCAGUAGCGGCGAGUGAAGCGGCAAGAGCUCAGAUUUGAAAUCGUGUUUCGGCACGAGUUGUAGAGUGUAGGCGGGAGUCUCUGUGGAGCGCGGUGUCCAAGUCCCUUGGAACAGGGUGCCUGAGAGGGUGAGAGCCCCGUGGGGUGCUGCGCGAAGCUUUGAGGCCCUGCUGACGAGUCGAGUUGUUUGGGAAUGCAGCUCUAAGCGGGUGGUAAAUUCCAUCUAAGGCUAAAUAUUGGCGAGAGACCGAUAGCGAACAAGUACUGUGAAGGAAAGAUGAAAAGCACUUUGAAAAGAGAGUGAAACAGCACGUGAAAUUGUUGAAAGGGAAGGGUAUUGGGCCCGACAUGGGGAGUGCGCACCGCUGUCUCUUGUAGGCGGCGCUCUGGGCGCUCUCUGGGCCAGCAUCGGUUCUUGCUGCGAGAGAAGUGGYGCCGGAAAGUGGCUCUUCGGAGUGUUAUAGCCGGUGCCGGAUGUCGCGUGCGGGGACCGAGGGCUGCGACAUCUGUCUCGGAUGCUGGCACAACGGCGCAAUACCGC